CAUCAACAUUUGCUGCUUUCCUC
Molecule: microRNA, 23 nt
Filed under: Echinops telfairi (small Madagascar hedgehog)
Lineage: Eukaryota; Metazoa; Chordata; Mammalia; Afrosoricida; Tenrecidae
Description: Ete-Mir-505-v1_3p (mature (co-guide))
Source: RNAcentral